This 8305-nucleotide long non-coding RNA is filed under the name Malus domestica (apple). RNAcentral describes it as "long non-coding RNA (MDOM_LNC001257)". The record is from RNAcentral. Lineage: Eukaryota; Viridiplantae; Streptophyta; Magnoliopsida; Rosales; Rosaceae.
ACUCUUUAUCCGUAAUUUCAUUGCUUUCCACUCUCCACUCAAAUCCCGCUUUUAGUAAAUUAGUUUAGUUUAAAAUAUCGCUCGAACAAAAAACAAAGCCGAGUUCCCAAAGUCCUUUUGGCUUUGGCAUCCAUAAAGGAAGAACUUUAUAAUCAAAUUCUCAAAAAGUCGUCAAAUUUAUCAUCUGGGAUAAGGAUUAUAUGGGUAUCGAAGGAGUGGAAGAAUCGGGAGGCACGGGGGUGCCCCUAUCGAAAUUCAGGUACAACUCGCCGUUUGUUCAAGUGAGUCUCAUCGGAUUGGUCUGUUUCUGCUGCCCUGGCAUGUUCAACGCCCUCUCCGGCAUGGGCGGCGGAGGCCAGGUCGACCCGACUGCCUCCAACAACGCCUCCACUGCCCUCUUCACCACCUUCGCCAUCUUCGGCAUCCUCGGUGGCGGCAUCUACAACAUCCUCGGCCCCCGCCUUACACUCCUCUCCGCCUGCUCCACCUACGUCCUCUACGCCGGCUCAUUCCUCUACUACAACCACCACAAGCACCAGGCUUUCGCUAUUGUCGCCGGAGCAAUCCUCGGAAUCGGCGCCGGCAUCCUCUGGGCCGGCCAAGGUUCCAUCAUGACGUCGUACCCUCCCUCGAAUCGAAAGGGGACAUACAUCUCGAUUUUCUGGAGCAUUUACAAUAUGGGUGGCGUCAUCGGAGGACUAAUUCCGUUUGUUCUUAACUACCACCGGAGCCAAGCGGCUUCCGUCAACGAUGCAACUUACAUUGGGUUCAUGAUUUUCAUGUCCAUCGGGACUCUUUUAUCCCUCGCUAUCCUGCCCCCCAGCAAAAUUGUCCGGGAUGACGGGACUAAAUGUACGGACAUUCAGUACUCAAACGUCACAACUGAGGCCAUUGAGAUUGCCAAGCUGUUCACAAACUGGAAAAUGCUUCUUAUAAUCCCGGCUGCUUGGUCGAGCAUUUUUUUCUACACCUACCUAUUCAACAACGUCAAUAAAGUUAUGUUUAAUAUGAGGACUAGAGGAUUGAACAAUGUGUUCUACUGGGGAGCGGAGAUUUUCGGGUCCAUUGGGAUUGGAUACGUUAUGGAUUUCAGCUUCAAGAGCAGGAGGACUAGGGGUUUCGUGGGCAUUUCGGUUGUUGGUGUCCUCGGGACUGCAAUUUGGAUUGGCGGACUUGCCAACCAACUCAACUACUCUCGAAGCGAUUUGCCUGAGAAGUUGGAUUUUAAGGACUCCGGCUCUGCUUUCGCAGGACCGUUCGUGUUGUAUUUUAGUUUCGGGUUGCUUGAUGCCAUAUUCCAGAGAAUGGUUUUCUGGGUCAUUGGAGCCUUGGCUGAUAACUCUGAAAUUCUAAGCAGGUAAUAGAAUAUUCCUUGCUUCCCAAGUCUUUAACCUUUCAAUGAUCUUUGUGCGUUUGGGCAAUUUUUCGUGUGCAGGACUGGACAAUCCAAUCCAAUCCUGCGCACGAAAUGUGGACUUAGUGGCAUUCACAGAACAAUGUGUGAUUCUAAAAAUUUAUUUAAUUUUGUGCAUGUUUUGUACAGGUAUGUUGGAUUCUACAUGGGAAUACAGAGUGCAGGGUCAGCAGUAGCUUGGCAAGUCGAUGCGCACAAGGCAUCCUUCCUCUCCCAAUUGGUUACGAAUUUCACGCUUUACACCGUGAGUUAUCCGCUGCUGGUGGUUCUGAUCUUGCUGGCCGUGAAGGAUGAAGGUAAGGCUGAUGUGGAGGAAUUUACCAAGGGGAAGGUUGCUGAAUUUACCGAGGAGAAGUUGCUGAGCCUGCAGCCUCAGAGAAGUGAUCGUAAUGAUCGUCGGCUUAAUUAGCAGAUGAAAUUAGUCAUAAGCCAUCCAAAUGUUUGUCUUAAUUACGUCCAUACAAUCGAAUCUUCACGAAUUAUUGUAAUGGAAAUGCCAGUAUAAUUGAUGUAGCACGUUCAAAUUGUCAAAAAAUUUACAGAGUAAUCAAAGUUCAUGUUUUGAUAAAAUGUCUGAAUGACUAGUUCUUGACCACGAUUGUCCAUUAUAUUCAUGGAUGCUUGGAAGGAAUACUGAGAGAGUCUUCUACUCAUCGAGGAACCUUCAUGUCAAACCCUAGCUAGUGAUAGAGCCAGAUGAUAUUUGACGUGAUUUUCCUAUGAUCUCUCGAGCCUUGAGUAUUUACAAAUGCUUGGUUAACAAUCCUUCCACCCUUGGACCAACUGGAGGCACGCACAGUGAUGAUGCUUCCUCAGAAGGAUCUCAUCAUGGUGUUUGAAUGAUCGAGGAAACAACUAAGCAAGAUAAUGCAAAGGAAUCAUGGUUUUUGCUUCAGAACCGCAAGAAAGGAGCAUAGAGUUUGAUAUCUCAUAGUUGUUUGCCAAUUCAAUCAGUUAUUGGGUUCUUUCGCACCAGACAUUUUUCAUCGGAGGAUGCUUUCGUUGUUGUUUUAGCCAGAAGGUAAGACGCGUCCACUCAAUAUGAGCAAUAGAUCAGGUUUCCUUUGCCCGUUGGAUUUCGGAGGCCACCCUACUCGUAGUGUGUAUUUGCUGGUAUGUGAUUGAGUUGGGCUGUCUAAAUCCUAAUUAGUGUUUUUUAUGACAUGUUAAAAGCCUUCUGGAGUUUUAACCACUCGAGCAAGGCUCGAGCAGUCCUUGUGAGGCCUCGGUGGGGGUCCAAGUACCGCUUGAAGGGGCCUCGACAGGACUCGAGCAUUGCUCUAGAUUAUCUUGACGGGUUUUCGUCAUAUUGUUAAACGUCUUUUAGUAAGGAAGCGUCGUAAUCGUGGAGCAAUAAUGUGUUUGACUUUCGGAUACAUGGUCCGAGAUUUCGAUUUGAUACUUGAUGUGUUCGUUGGAUCUUGUUGCAGAUUAGGAUCUACUUCCAAAAACUACAGUAGAAAAUGGUGUAGAGCCAAAGUCUAUAAUCUUGAAACGUAGGUCAUCCCUUUAUCCUUUCCACAACCCUAUUGCUGGUGGUCCGUUCUUGGACCACCAUAAGUACCGAUGAAAAGUCAAUCACGUCUUGUUAAAAUUUUCACAAUUGAUUUGGAAUAUUAAUAUAGUGAUAUUCUCGGCAUAUGUAACGUUUAAGUCAUCAUGAUAUUGUGUCUGUAUCUUAAGUCAGUCGCACAACAGUAAUAAUUGAACUCUGAACAAGAUUAUAAAAGUUGCUUGAGUAAUGAACUUAUUAAACAAAAACUCAUUCAUUUAGGAGACCGAGUUUACAAUUGUCGAAUGUUUUUUUUUUUUCCACAAACCAACAAAAACAAUAUCUUCCUCUCAAGAACGCUCGAUAACUCCCUAUUGAAAUGAGUUUUUAAUCCUUUUAUUUUCUUUAAAAUGAGACUAAUUAGUGGUUUCGUCAUGACAAUUUACUUUUUAUAGACCGAAAAAAUCCGCAGAAUAUAUUGAAAUGAGUUUUUGGUCGAUCAGGAAUUGCAGCCGCCCGACUUGCCGUUUAAUGAGCUAAUAAUGCCAAAAUGCUUUAACGUCACUUGGUGCGCUUGCGUUUGAAGAGUUUGUCGAUGUCAACAGCAAACUUAGACUUUUCUGUGAAGUAUGCCAAACAAGUUGAAAACAACAUAUAGCCACUCUUAAUUUACAAUUUCUCCCUCACGCUUGGGAAGGAAAAUACAAUUACUUGAUUAUCUGCGCCUGCAUAAUCAUAUUAGACAAACCAAGUUUAAUUAGUUACUGAAUUAUUUGAUGUUACGGAAAACAGAAGAUUAUACGUUGCAGACAUGAGCUUAAGUUGGUUAACAUAUUGUUUCCGUUUUUUACCCAACUUCAAGUCAUGCUCUUAAUAAUAAACAAUACAUCGUUAUUAUGAGGAGAUUUUUCAGUUGUCGGAAACACGACCUGAUACACUAAUAAAAUAAAAUUGUACCUAAUAUUUUAUCCGUACGUCUUUAUUUCUUUAAAUCUCAUACCAUCGAAGUUGUUUUCGAUCUUCACACUUUAUCUCUCUUUUCUUGGACCCUGAAUCAAGGACGGUUUGGCAUGGACAUAUACUCAUAUGCCCAUUCCAACUUGGGAAUUGAAAUACAAGAUUCCCUUCCACCCCUAAUCUAACGAAUGAUUAAAAAUUUGAAACUGUGAUUUUUUUAUGCAUAUUCAUAUCCCAUCCCGUCAGGAUUAGGGAUUUAUAAUCUGACUUUUCUCAGCAUCAUUCUCACACGCCCCGCUGGACUCUGAAAACCCAGACAAAGCCUGGACUCCAUAAAUUGUCAUUUGCUAUGCAUUCUUUGUCCAAUCCAAGGGUCCUUGUCCGUUUUGACCCUUGCAAUUGGUCCCGGACUAUAUCGUCCCGAGCUAAAUCCUUCUGCUAAUCACAACCACAUAAGUUCAUCCUUUCGAUUCUCCACCAAAUCCCCGUAAAUUAGAUUAGUUUAGAAUAUCGCUCGAUAAAAAGUUCGGAUCCCAGUUCCAUUUGGCAUUCAAAGGGAGGAACUUUGUGAUUAAAAUCACACAGAAGUCGUAAAAUUUAUCACCUGGGAUUCGAUGGUUUCCGAAGGAGUGGAAGAAUCGGGAGGCACGGAGGUGCCCCAGUCGAAAUUCAGGUACAACUCGCCGUUUGUCCAAGUGAGUUUGAUCGGAUUGGUCUGUUUCUGCUGCCCUGGCAUGUUCAUGGCCCUCUCUGGCAUGGGCGGCGGAGGCCAGGUCGACCCGACUGCCUCCAACAACGCCUCCACCGCCCUCUAUACCACCUUCGCCGUCUUCGGAAUUCUCGGCGGCGGCAUCUACAACAUCCUCGGCCCCCGCCUCACUCUCCUCUCCGCCUGCCCCACCUACGUCCUCUACGCCGGCUCAUUCCUCUACUACAACCACCACAAGCACCAGGCUUUCGCUAUUGUCGCCGGAGUAAUCCUCGGAAUCGGCGCCGGCCUCCUCUGGGCAGGCCAAGGCGCCAUCAUGACGUCAUACCCUCCCCCGAACCGAAAGGGGACAUACAUCUCGAUUUUCUGGAGCAUUUUCAACAUGGGUGGCGUCAUCGGUGGACUAAUUCCCUUCGUUCUUAAUUACCACCGGAGCGAAGCGGCUUCCGUCAACGAUGCAACUUACAUUGGGAUAAUGAUUUUCAUGUCCAUCGGGACUCUUUUAUCCCUCUCUAUCCUGCCCGCCAGCAAAGUUGUCCGGGACGACGGGACUAAAUGUACGGACAUUCAGUACUCAAAUGUCACAACUGAGGCCAUUGAGAUUGCCAAGCUGUUUACGAAUUGGAAAAUGCUUCUUAUAAUCCCGGCUGCUUGGUCGGGCAAUUUUUUCUACACCUACCAGUUCAACAACGUCAACCAAAUUAUGUUUAAUCUGAGGACGAGAGGAUUGAACAAUGUGUUCUACUGGGGAGCGCAGAUGUUGGGGUCCAUCGGGAUUGGAUACGUUAUGGAUUUCAGCUUCAAGAGCAGGAGGACGAGGGGUUUCGCUGGCAUUUCAGUAGUUGGUGUUCUCGGGACUACAAUUUGGAUUGGCGGACUUGUCAACCAGCUCAACUACUCUCGCAGUGAUUUGCCUGAGAAGUUGGAUUUUAAGGACUCCGGCUCUGCUUUCGCAGGACCCUUCGUGUUGUAUUUUAGUUUCGGACUGCUUGAUGCCAUGUUCCAGAGCAUGAUUUACUGGGUCAUUGGAGCCUUGGCUGAUAACUCUGAAAUUCUAAGCAGGUAACAGGAUAUUCCUUGCUUCUCAACUUUUUCAUUUCUCAAUGAUCUUCGUGCGUUUAGGCAAUUUUUCGUGCGCAGGCGUGGACAAUCCAAUCCAAUCAUGCGCACGAAAUGUGGCCUUAGUUACAGUCACAGAACAAAGAGUGAUGCUAAAAACUCAUAUUUUUGUGCAUGUUUUGUACAGGUAUGUUGGAUUCUACAAAGGAAUACAGAGUGCAGGGGCAGCAGUUGCUUGGCAAGUCGAUACGCUCAAGGCAUCCUUCCUCUCCCAAUUGGUUACCAAUUUCGCGCUCAACACCGUGAGUUAUCCGCUGCUGCUGGUUCUGAUCUUGCUGGCUGUGAAGGAUGAAGGUAAGGCUGAUGUGGAGGAAUUUACCAAGGAGAAGGUUGCUGAGCCUGCAGCCUCAGAGAAGUGAUCAUAAUGAUCGUCGGCUUAAUUAGCAGAUCAAAUUAGUCAUAAGCUCUGAAUAUUUGAUUUAAUUACGUUCAUACAAUCGAAUCUUCACGAAUUAGUGUAAAUUAUGUACCAUGUUCAAAUUGUCAAGUAUUUUACUGAGUAAAUGUUGUAAUGGAGGUACUAUAUUGAAAUAAAAUAGUAGGUGGGGUAUGAAAGUGAAAUGUUUUAAAGAUGUUGUAUAGAGUUGUAAUAGACUUUAAACUUGAGGGGUAACUAUGUAAUUUACCCUAAUAAAUAAUACACCGUUAUUGUGGGAAGAUUUUUUCAGUACGUCGAAAACCCGGCCUGGUACACCAAAUAUAAUAAUAUAAUUAGUUGAAAAUUGAAAAUAAAAUUUCAACCAAUUAUAUUAUUACACUUGUGUACCGAACGUGUUCCAAAUACACUGAAAAAUUUAUCGCUACUUUAGCAUAACGUCCCAAUAAGUUAGAAGUAUAUGUAAUAUUUUAUCCGCGCGUCUUUAUUUCUUUAACGCUUAUAGUUAUACCAUCUAAGUUGUUUUCGCUCUUCACUCUUUGUCUCUCUUUCCGUGGACCAUGAAUCAAGGACAGUUUGGCAUGGACAUAUACAGUAUACUCAUAUACCCAUCCCACUAGGGAAUUAAAAUACAAGAUUCCUUUCCACCUAUUAUCUAACGAAUGAUUGAAAUUUUGAAAUUGACUGAAUUUUUUAUGGAUUUAACUUCGCUGCGGCUUUCAUCCAAUUUCGAUUGGACACGUAUACCAGUUUUGAUUAAAAAAAUUAAAAUUUGAACACGUGUUCAGUCGGGUGUGAGCAGCUGCUGAAUCUGCAGCAGCCAAAUCCAGUUUUUUUUUAUUUUUUUUAUGCGUAUUCAUAUCCCGUCCCGUCGGGAUUAAGGAUUUAUAAUCCGACUUUUCUCAGCAUCAUUCUCACACGCCCCGCUGGACUCUGAAAACCCAGACAAAGCCUGGACUCCAGAAAUUGUCAUUUGCUUUGCAUUCUUUGUCCAAUCCAAGGGUCCUUGUCCGUUUUGACCCUUGCAAUUAGUCGUGGACUAUAUCGUCCCGAGCUAAAUCCUUCUGCUAAUCACAACCACAUAUGUCAGUUCAUCCUUCCCAUAAAUUAGAUUAGUUUAGAAUAUCGCUCGAGAAAAAGUUCGGAUCCCAGUUCCAUUUGGCAUUCAAAGGGAGGAACUUUGUGAUUAAAAUCACACAAAAGUCGUAAAAUUUAUCACCUGGGAUUCGAUGGUUUCCGAAGGAGUGGAAGAAUCGGGAGGCACGGAGGUGCCCCAGUCAAAAUUCAGGUACAACUCGCCGUUUGUCCAAGUGAGUUUGAUCGGAUUGGUCUGUUUCUGCUGCCCUGGCAUGUUCAACGCCCUCUCCGGCAUGGGCGGCGGAGGCCAGGUCGAUCCGACCGCCGCUAACAACGCCUCCACCGCCCUCUAUACCACCUUCGCCGUCUUCGGUAUCCUCGGUGGCGGCAUCUACAACAUCCUCGGCCCCCGCCUCACUCUCCUCUCCGCCUGCUCCACCUACGUUCUCUACGCCGGCUCAUUCCUCUACUACAACCACCACAAACACCAGGCUUUCGCUAUUGUCGCCGGAGCAAUCCUCGGAAUCGGCGCCGGCCUCCUCUGGGCCGGCCAAGGUGCCAUCAUGACGUCAUACCCUCCCCCAAACCGAAAGGGGACAUACAUCUCGAUUUUCUGGAGCAUUUUCAACAUGGGUGGCGUCAUCGGUGGACUAAUUCCCUUCGUUCUUAAUUACCACCGGAGUGAAGCGGCUUCCGUCAACGAUGCAACUUACAUUGGGUUCAUGAUUUUCAUGUCCAUUGGGACUCUUUUAUCCCUCGCUAUCCUGCCCCCCAGCAAAGUUGUCCGGGACGACGGGACUAAAUGUACGGACAUUCAGUACUCAAAUGUUACGACUGAGGCCAUUGAGAUUGCCAAGCUGUUUACAAAUUGGAAAAUGCUUCUUAUAAUCCCGGCUGCUUGGUCGAGCAAUUUUUUCUACACCUACCAAUUCAACAACGUCAAUCAAAUUAUGUUUAAUCUGAGGACUAGAGGAUUGAACAAUGUGUUCUACUGGGGAGCGCAGAUGUUGGGGUCCGUCGGGAUUGGAUACGUUAUGGAUUUCAGCUUCAAGAGCAGGAGGACGAGGGGUUUCGCUGGCAUUUCAGUAGUUGGUGUUCUCGGGACUACAAUAUGGAUUGGCGGACUUGUCAACCAGCUCAACUACUCUCGCAGUGAUUUGC